GACGAACGCUGGCGGCAUGCCUAAUACAUGCAAGUCGAGCGAACAGAUGAAGUGCUUGCACUUCUGACGUUAGCGGCGAACGGGUGAGUAACACGUAAGGAAUCUACCUAUAAGCGGGGGAUAACAUUCGGAAACGGGUGCUAAUACCGCAUAAUAUCUUCUUCCGCAUGGAAGAAGAUUGAAAGACGGCUCUGCUGUCACUUAUAGAUGACCUUGCGGUGCAUUAGUUAGUUGGUGGGGUAACGGCCUACCAAGACGAUGAUGCAUAGCCGACCUGAGAGGGGGAUCGGCCACAUUGGGACUUAGACACGGCCAAAACUCCUACGGGAGUCACCAGUAGGGAAUCUUCCGCAAUGGGCGAAAGCCUGACGGAGCAAUGCCGCGUGAGUGAAGAAGGCCUUCGGGUCGUAAAACUCUGUUAUAAGAGAAGAACAAAUUGUAGAGUAACUGCUACAGUCUUGACGGUAUCUUAUCAGAAAGCCACGGCUAACUACGUGCCAGCCGCCGCCGUAA
RNAcentral lists this ribosomal RNA (513 nucleotides) under uncultured bacterium. Its description in RNAcentral is "partial 16S ribosomal RNA". It matches the Rfam family "Bacterial small subunit ribosomal RNA", at positions 28 to 523 of the family's 1533-position model. The record is from RNAcentral.